AAAUGCGAUAAGUAAUGUGAAUUGCAGAAUUCAGUGAAUCAUCGAAUCUUUGAACGCACAUUGCGCCCGCCAGUAUUCUGGCGGGCAUGCCUGUUCGAGCGUCAUUUCAACCAUCAAGCCCCGGCGCUUGUGUUGGGGACCCGCGGCUGCCGCGGGCCCUUAAAGACAGUGGCGGUCCUCGCUGCAGCACCGAGCGUAGUAGCUAUACACCUCGCCCUGGGAGCUGCGCGUGCGACCACGCUGUAAAACCCCCCACCUCUCACAAGGUUGACCUCGGAUCAGGUAGGAAUACCCGCUGAACUUAAGC
Molecule: unclassified non-coding RNA, 307 nt
Filed under: plant metagenome
Description: partial contains 5.8S ribosomal RNA, internal transcribed spacer 2, and large subunit ribosomal RNA
Rfam family: 5.8S ribosomal RNA (bases 1-104)
Source: RNAcentral